Pelobates cultripes (western spadefoot toad) is the source of this 273-nucleotide non-coding RNA. NCBI's taxonomy places the organism in Eukaryota, Metazoa, Chordata, Amphibia, Anura, Pelobatidae. The record is from the annotation of a GenBank genome assembly.
UAUCCCAUUCCAGGUUUAUGGACCCACUUACUGCACCAUAGGAGGGAAAGGAAAUGAUUUGAAGGUAGGAAGACACAGGGAUCUUGCUUAUAGAGCAGCAUGUCGAAUUAUUCUAACAUAAGAAAUCACAACUGCUUGAUCAUGGACCUCACAUCACAGAAACCCAGCCACAGGAUUGAUUGGCUGAGUAUGGGAACCUGGCAGAGGCAGCCACCUAACCACAAAUCCUAUUCUUGUGUAUAUGUGUGAUUUGAGUCCUGGUGGGUAAGGAAC